GAUGAACGCUGGCGGCGUGCCUAACACAUGCAAGUCGAACGGACAAGCUCCAACUUGCUGGCGUUGAUCAUUGCCGAAGGCGGGAGUGUCACGUGUGCAUCCUGCCCCUGUCUCUCGGGGAACAGCCCGAAACGGCUGCUAAUAUCGGAUAUGCUCCAUGAACCCACAUUCUGCGGUGGGAAAGAUUUUUCUGUUGGGGAUGGGCGCGCGGCCUAUCAGCUUGUUGGUGAGGUAAUGGCUCACCAAGGGGCCGACGGGUCGCCGCCCCGAGAGGGUGACCGGGCACAAUGGUACUGCGAGACGGAGCAGACGGCUACGGGAGGCAGCGGGGGGGAAUAUUGCGCAAUGGGGGCAAGCCUGAUGCAGAAGCGCCGGGUGAGGGAUGACGGCCUUCGGGUUGUGAACAUCUUUGGGCAGAGACGAAGCGGUAGUGACGGUACCUGAAGAAAAAGCGCCGGCUAACUACGUG
This 469-nucleotide ribosomal RNA is filed under the name uncultured bacterium. RNAcentral's name for it is "partial 16S ribosomal RNA". It matches the Rfam family "Bacterial small subunit ribosomal RNA", at positions 28 to 507 of the family's 1533-position model. The record is from RNAcentral.